This 91-nucleotide transfer RNA is filed under the name Kamptonema sp. PCC 6506. Its description in RNAcentral is "tRNA-Val". The record is from RNAcentral. Lineage: Bacteria; Bacillati; Cyanobacteriota; Cyanophyceae; Oscillatoriales; Microcoleaceae.
UUCCUGUUUGCAAGAUUUGAGCUUCUAAGGCAUUAACAGUGUUUAAAUAUUUCUGGGUUUCUCUAUUAGGUUCAAUUCCUUUAUAGGGAUC